CGGACACUGUAGGCUGCACCCCAGUCAUCAAGGGCUGAAGUCUUUUGGACGUAUUUUUUUGUCGGGUCAGGACCGGACGUCUUUUUUUGAAUGGGAGUGUUGAGACGCGAGGAUGUGCUGACAACAUUUCAGUCAUACUGGUGUCUGUUAGCUUCUGAACAACAGACACCCAAUCUGGCCCGUCAUUGCGUGCCUCUGAGUGAUAUGUCCACCGUGGCUCCAGAACUUAAAACAUGCCCAGAUCCCACCACUCCCAGCAACACUGCCCACAACAGAUGAACAUCAGACAUGUUGGUCAACCGUUCAUUUUAAACAAGAUGUUGUAUGUAAUCUCUAACUCCAUGCGUAGGGUAUACUGUUCACAGCAAUGCAAUUGCUAAUUGCUUGUGUUGCAUACUUGCGUAGCGUGUAAAUAAGGCCUAAUGCUCUGUAGUGCCCUGUACUGCUUAUCCCGAUGACUCCUGAUUUAAAUGGGCUUUGUUUUCUAUCUAAUACAUUGUCUUUUCUAAUUCGUGCACAUGUUUUUUUUGCCUUAAAUGUGUAUUUUUCUUUGGGGUACUUUUAAUAAAGUAGUUCAGAACAGAAUUUCAGAGAUUGUCCCAAAAAUUCAACACAUGUAUAAUCCAAUCGGAAGAUGGUCUACAUUUAAUGGACUCCUAACUUCCUCCCUGUUUCCGCCACCCUGGAUAAUAAAGGGUCCCUUCCCUCUGUC
Oncorhynchus keta (chum salmon) is the source of this 712-nucleotide long non-coding RNA. RefSeq lists it as uncharacterized. NCBI's taxonomy places the organism in Eukaryota, Metazoa, Chordata, Actinopteri, Salmoniformes, Salmonidae. The record is from RefSeq and is a predicted model, not a curated record. The transcript has 2 exons.